RNAcentral lists this ribosomal RNA (485 nucleotides) under uncultured bacterium. Its description in RNAcentral is "bacterial SSU rRNA". It matches the Rfam family "Bacterial small subunit ribosomal RNA", at positions 28 to 507 of the family's 1533-position model. The record is from RNAcentral.
GAUGAACGCUGGCGGCGUGCCUAAUACAUGCAAGUCGAACGAAGGUAGCAAUACCUUAGUGGCGAACGGGCGAGUAACACGUAGGUAACCUGCCUUUCAGUUGGGGAUAACCGAGGGAAACUUUGGCUAAUACCGAAUUCGUGCUUCGAAGGCAUCUUCGGAGCAUAAAAGGGGCCUUUAAAGCCUCGCUGAUUGAUGGACCUGCGGCGCAUUAGUUAGUUGGUGAGAUAACAGCCCACCAAGACGAGGAUGCGUAGCCGACCUGAGAGGGUGAUCGGCCACACUGGAACUGAGACACGGUCCAGACUCCUACGGGAGGCAGCAGUAGGGAGUUUUCGGCAAUGGGGGAAACCCUGACCGAGCAACGCCGCGUGAGUGAUGAAGGUCUUCGGAUUGUAAAGCUCUGUUAUAAGGGAAGAACGGCAGCUAGAGGAAAUGCUAGCUGUUUGACGGUACUUUAUGAGAAAGCCACGGCUAACUACGUG